This 236-nucleotide ribosomal RNA is filed under the name Streptomyces evansiae. RNAcentral describes it as "Streptomyces sp. DSM 41979 partial 23S ribosomal RNA". It matches the Rfam family "Bacterial large subunit ribosomal RNA", at positions 402 to 625 of the family's 2925-position model. Lineage: Bacteria; Bacillati; Actinomycetota; Actinomycetes; Kitasatosporales; Streptomycetaceae. The record is from RNAcentral.
UUAUUCCCAAGUAGCACGGGGCCCGAGAAAUCCUGUGUGAAUCUGGCGGGACCACCCGCUAAGCCUAAAUAUUCCCUGGUGACCGAUAGCGGAUAGUACCGUGAGGGACUGGUGAAAAGUACCGCGGGAGCGGAGUGAAAUAGUACCUGAAACCGUGUGCCUACAAGCCGUGGGAGCGUCGCGCAAGGACUUGUCCUUGCGUCGUGACUGCGUGCCUUUUGAAGAAUGAGCCUGCG